This 488-nucleotide ribosomal RNA is filed under the name uncultured bacterium. RNAcentral's name for it is "partial 16S ribosomal RNA". It matches the Rfam family "Bacterial small subunit ribosomal RNA", at positions 899 to 1397 of the family's 1533-position model. The record is from RNAcentral.
ACUCAAAGGAAUUGACGGGGGCCCACACAAGCGGUGGAACAUGUGGUUCAAUUCGACAACAAACGAAGAACCUUACCAGGUCUUGACAUCUAGCGAACCUCUUGGAAACGAGAGGGUGCCCGCAAGGGAGCGCUAAGACAGGUGCUGCAUGGUUGUCGUCAGCUCGAGCCUUGAGGUGUACGGUUAAGUCCGUGAUCGAGCGCAACCCUCGUCCCUAGUUAUAUAUUUCUAGGGAGACUGCCGUGCCAUAAGCCGGAGGAAGGUGGGGAUGACGUCAAAUCAGCAUGGCCCUUAUGACCUGGGCUACACACAUGUUACAAUGGUCGGUACAAUAGGUAGCAAGGGGGUAACCCGGAGCCAAUCCUACAAAACCGAUCUCAGUCCGGAUUGAGGGCUGCAACUCGCCCUCAUGAAGUUGGAAUCGCUAGUAACCGUGAAUCAGCUAUGUCACGGUGAAUAUGUUCCUGGGCCUUGUACACACCGCCCGU